RNA transcript from Catharus ustulatus (Swainson's thrush), 808 nucleotides. It is a transcript of the gene named small nuclear ribonucleoprotein U11/U12 subunit 25, with no coding region annotated. The record is from RefSeq and is a predicted model, not a curated record. The transcript is spliced from 7 exons. NCBI's taxonomy places the organism in Eukaryota, Metazoa, Chordata, Aves, Passeriformes, Turdidae.
AUGGCGGCCGAGGAGCCGGCGGAGGAGCCGCCCGAGGAGCUGGCGCACGCCGAGGUGCUGGAGCUGUUCCAGGCGGCGCUGGCGCGGCUGGUGCAGGACCCGCUGCUCUGCGACCUCCCCCCGCAGGUGACGGCGGAGGAGAUCGGCUCGCAGGUGGCCCUGGAGUACGGGCAGGCCAUGACGGUGCGGGUGUGCAAGGCGGACGGCGAGACCGUGCCCGUGGUGGUGGUGCAGAACGCCUCGGUGCUGGAGCUGAAGAAGGCCCUGCGGCGGCACAUGCAGCUGAGGCAGGCCCGGCAGGGCGGUGUGCAGCACCUGAGCUGGAAGUACAUAUGGAGGACGUACCACCUCACCUACAACGGGGAGAAGCUGGCGGAUGACAGGAAGAAGCUGAGAGAGUAUGGCAUCAGGAACCGGGAUGAGGUCAGCUUCAUCAAGAAGCUUCGGAAGUAACCUGUGGGUUACCUUUUAUUCUGCUUUCAACACUGCCAUAUUUUCAAGAUCCAGGUGUAAUAAAAUGUGUGCCCUAACAACAGCCACCUGCUCCAGGGUGCCUGUGACCAGCAGUCACCUCUGGUACUGGCUGAUCCCUCCUGGACCAUCAUGGCAGUGUGAGAGAGCAGAAAACCCAGCACUACCAAGACCAGACUGUGGAUUCAGCACUUUCCUGGAAGAAAAGGUUGUUACACUUCAGAGAGGAACAAACUCCAUUGACUGGACAUUCUUACAUUUUUUACAGUUGCUGUUUGUGGUGUUUUCCUCUGAGCUGUGUAUGGAUUUCAGGGAUUAAAGAGACCCUGUAGUUUUC